RNAcentral lists this ribosomal RNA (674 nucleotides) under uncultured bacterium. RNAcentral's name for it is "bacterial SSU rRNA". It matches the Rfam family "Bacterial small subunit ribosomal RNA", at positions 32 to 697 of the family's 1533-position model. The record is from RNAcentral.
AACGCUAGCUACAGGCUUAACACAUGCAAGUCGAGGGGCAGCAUAAAAGUAGCAAUACUUUGGUGGCGACCGGCGCACGGGUGAGUAACGCGUAUGCAACCUACCUAUCAGAGGGGGAUAACCCGGCGAAAGUCGGACUAAUACCGCAUAAAACAGGAGCACCGCAUGGUGCUAUUUGUUAAAAAUUUAUUGCUGAUAGAUGGGCAUGCGUUCCAUUAGGUAGUUGGAGAGGUAACGGCUCACCAAGCCCACGAUGGAUAGGGGAACUGAGAGGUUGGUCCCCCACACUGGUACUGAGACACGGACCAGACUCCUACGGGAGGCAGCAGUGAGGAAUAUUGGUCAAUGGGCGAGAGCCUGAACCAGCCAAGUCGCGUGAAGGAAGAAGGAUCUAUGGUUCGUAAACUUCUUUUGCAGGGGAAUAAAGUGCAGGACGUGUCCUGUUUUGUAUGUACCCUGAGAAUAAGGAUCGGCUAACUCCGUGCCAGCAGCCGCGGUAAUACGGAGGAUCCGAGCGUUAUCCGGAUUUAUUGGGUUUAAAGGGUGCGUAGGUGGUUUAAUAAGUCAGCGGUGAAAGUUUGCAGCUUAACUGUAAAAAUGCCGUUGAAACUGUUAGACUUGAGUGUAAAUGAGGUAGGCGGAAUGCGUGGUGUAGCGGUGAAAUGCUUAGAUAU